This 253-nucleotide ribosomal RNA is filed under the name uncultured bacterium. RNAcentral describes it as "partial 16S ribosomal RNA". It matches the Rfam family "Bacterial small subunit ribosomal RNA", at positions 524 to 776 of the family's 1533-position model. The record is from RNAcentral.
UACAGAGGAUGCAAGCGUUAUCCGGAAUGAUUGGGCGUAAAGCGUCUGUAGGUGGCUUUUUAAGUCCGCCGUCAAAUCCCAGGGCUCAACCCUGGAAAGCCGGUGGAAACUGUCAAGCUUGAGUCCGGAAGAGGCGAGUGGAAUUCCUGGUGUAGCGGUGAAAUGCGCAGAUAUCAGGAGGAACACCAAUGGCGAAGGCAGCUCGCUGGGACGGUACUGACGCUGAGACGCGAAAGCGUGGGGAGCAAACAGG